GACGAACGCUGGCGGCGUGCCUAAUACAUGCAAGUUGAGCGCUGAAGGUUGGUACUUGUACCAACUGGAUGAGCAGCGAACGGGUGAGUAACGCGUGGGGAAUCUGCCUUUGAGCGGGGGACAACAUUUGGAAACGAAUGCUAAUACCGCAUAAAAACUUUAAACACAAGUUUUAAGUUUGAAAGAUGCAAUUGCAUCACUCAAAGAUGAUCCCGCGUUGUAUUAGCUAGUUGGUGAGGUAAAGGCUCACCAAGGCGAUGAUACAUAGCCGACCUGAGAGGGUGAUCGGCCACAUUGGGACUGAGACACGGCCCAAACUCCUAAGGGAGGCAGCAGUAGGGGAUCUUCGGACAUGGACGAAAGUCUGACCGAGCAACGCCGCGUGAGUGAAGAAGGGUUUCGGAUCGUAAAACUCUGUCGGUAGAGAAGAACGUUGGUGAGAGUGGAAAGCUCAUCAAGUGACGGUAACUACCCAGAAAGGGACGGCUAACUACGUG
This 497-nucleotide ribosomal RNA is filed under the name uncultured bacterium. RNAcentral describes it as "partial 16S ribosomal RNA". It matches the Rfam family "Bacterial small subunit ribosomal RNA", at positions 28 to 507 of the family's 1533-position model. The record is from RNAcentral.